This 484-nucleotide ribosomal RNA is filed under the name uncultured bacterium. RNAcentral's name for it is "partial 16S ribosomal RNA". It matches the Rfam family "Bacterial small subunit ribosomal RNA", at positions 30 to 507 of the family's 1533-position model. The record is from RNAcentral.
AUUGAACGCUGGCGGCAGGCCUAACACAUGCAAGUCGAGCGGAUGAAGGGAGCUUGCUCCUGGAUUCAGCGGCGGACGGGUGAGUAAUGCCUAGGAAUCUGCCUGGUAGUGGGGGAUAACGUCCGGAAACGGGCGCUAAUACCGCAUACGUCCUGAGGGAGAAAGUGGGGGAUCUUCGGACCUCACGCCAUCAGAUGAGCCUAGGUCGGAUUAGCUAGUUGGUGGGGUAAAGGCCUACCAAGGCGACGAUCCGUAACUGGUCUGAGAGGAUGAUCAGUCACACUGGAACUGAGACACGGUCCAGACUCCUACGGGAGGCAGCAGUGGGGAAUAUUGGACAAUGGGCGAAAGCCUGCUCCAGCCAUGCCGCGUGUGUGAAGAAGGUCUUCGGAUUGUAAAGCACUUUAAGUUGGGAGGAAGGGCAGUACGUUAAUACCUUGCUGUUUUGACGUUACCAACAGAAUAAGCACCGGCUAACUUCGUG